Molecule: long non-coding RNA, 691 nt
Organism: Lycium ferocissimum
Lineage: Eukaryota; Viridiplantae; Streptophyta; Magnoliopsida; Solanales; Solanaceae
Exons: 3
Source: RefSeq, a predicted model, not a curated record
AUAUAAUUAAAAAGAGGAUAGUUUGCAAUAGCAUUGUAACAAGUGGCAAUGUAACAGAAUGCCACGUGUUACAAUUAAGUUAGAAAAUAGUUAAUUAGUUAUUAAGUAGCUAUUAGUUAGUAUUAUUUAAUAUUUAAUUAUUUAAUAUGGAUUUAAAAAAAAAACGAAAAAAAAUAUUUCAGAUGGUAUGGAUACAACUUCCACGUUUCAGUUUUAAAAAUUGGCAAUUAAUUUUCUAUUAAAUCCUACUAGGAAAAGGAAAAGGAAAAGGGGGAAAUCAGAAAGAAAAAAAAAAACUACUCCUAGAGUAACCCACAUCUACACCACGUUCCCAUUCCUCAUCUCCUGCACAAAAUACCUUUCUCCACGAACCCUAAAAUUAGGGAUACCACGAUCUUUAAUUUUUUCAGAAUGGAGCAGUUUACAAAGGGCAAUAAAUCACGAUGCAGCGGUUUGUGAACACUUAUAAUUCUUGACAGGAAUCCUGAGUGUUCUCUGCAAAAAGCUCUCUUUGCACUAAAAUGAAUUAAUGGCGGCUGAAAGUAAUUUUAUUAGCGAAAUUAACACCAAGCCGAUGAAUUGGAGGUUAAAGGGAGGUCGCAUUCACGCAAGUGUUGGCAGGAAUAUCAUUCAAAGUUUGAAAACGAUGAACCAAGAACUCAAGGAAUUGGGUUUGUACAUCAUGAAGAAU